CCUAAAGCCCUAUAACACA
Molecule: transfer RNA, 19 nt
Filed under: Ameerega trivittata (three-striped poison frog)
Lineage: Eukaryota; Metazoa; Chordata; Amphibia; Anura; Dendrobatidae
Description: partial tRNA-Phe
Source: RNAcentral